AUCUGUGAUAUUUGCAGUGGAACAGCGGAGUCCUGGUCCACAUGGGCUGGUCGGACGGGGAGCAGCUGCUGUGUGUGCAGGAGAGCGGAGAUGUGCUCGUUUAUGACAUGUUUGGCGCCUACCAGAAGACAUUCAAUAUGGGGCAAGAAAUUAGGGACACUAAGGUCAGCAAAGCACAGCUGUUCCCAAAUAGGACUGGCUCUAACACCAACCGCUGAGCAACAUCUCCGAGCCCAAAGUCAGGCCCGUACCAGAUCUGCCACAUGACGACACAGAGACUGUAAGGAACGUUUGUCUUAUGCUUCUGGCAUAUGUCAGAAACGUAUCGCCGGCUCGAAAACGGAAAGGCGCAGUGGCUCUGAAGUUUUCUCGCGCGGAAAUAUGCGACGGAUUUUUCAAACAAGUGUCAUCAGAAGCACAUGUCAUUAGCUACAUAAUCGAGAAGAGAGAACAAUACAUGAAAUAGAAGUGGACUAUGCAGCCAUUUGUUAUUUUACUAUUUUUUGUUACUAUUCGUACACUCAGUAUUUUUUUGUAUUUGUCUAUUAUUCUUUUGGAACAUAUGUACACCCUUAAAACAUGUCUUAAAUCAGAAAUAAUAGUAACACAAUUUACAAUUACAGAAGUAACAAGUGAAUGUCAUUAUUGUUUUAGUCACUAGAGUCCUAGAUCAGUCAACAGAGUGAUCACUACCUGUGAGCGUCUAUCAAAUGGUGUUCUUAUGUUGUAGAAUCCCAAUUGGAUAAAAACCCACAGAUCAUUACAUUCUUCGGGAUAGCAAGCUCCGGUUGAUUGGUAUAUUUUAAAGACACAGUCUAUGGCAGUUACAAGUUUUUCGAAACGGUAAACAGUUUCGUUGACGACAACGUAUGCAGCGUUUACAUUCGAGAUUAAAAAAAUACCCAGUAGUUACCACUAUCUUAGUUUGGUGGUAAAAGGUGGGGAAAAAAA
Molecule: long non-coding RNA, 951 nt
Organism: Cydia splendana
Lineage: Eukaryota; Metazoa; Arthropoda; Insecta; Lepidoptera; Tortricidae
Exons: 3
Source: RefSeq, a predicted model, not a curated record